RNAcentral lists this ribosomal RNA (525 nucleotides) under Wolfiporiella dilatohypha. RNAcentral's name for it is "SSU rRNA". It matches the Rfam family "Bacterial small subunit ribosomal RNA", at positions 374 to 942 of the family's 1533-position model. Lineage: Eukaryota; Fungi; Basidiomycota; Agaricomycetes; Polyporales; Laetiporaceae. The record is from RNAcentral.
CUCGAAAGAGUGAACUAGCUAACUGGAAUCACUAGUAUCUCACUAGAGAAAUAGUAAUGGGAAAACACUGAUAUUACCUUACUAAAAGUGCCGUCCAAAUCUGGUGCCAGCAGACGCGGUAAGACCAGAGGCGCAAACGUUAAUCUUCAUAAACAGGCGUAAAGGGUUUGUAGGCUGCUUGUAUGGUUAAUUCAUUUACUUAUGAAUUAAUCAACCAUUCUACAGGCUAGAAUCAAAUAGAGGUAACUUAAAGAAUAAUUAGAGUAGGGAUUAAAUCCAAAGAUCCUAAGGAGAAUACUAAAGGCGAAAGCAUUAUACCAAUACUGAUUGACGCUGAGAAACGAAAGUGAGGGUAGGGAACAGGAUUAGAGACCCUGGUACUCCUCACUGUAAACGAUGAAUGGUAGCUCCUAGUUUUUAAAGCCAGAGGCGAAGUAAACACGAUAACCAUUCCGCCUUGUUAGUAAAACUGCAAAGUUGAAAACAAAAAAAUUUACGGGAUUUGGAGCAAACGAAGUGAAGCAU